This is a non-coding RNA of Paramuricea clavata, 223 nucleotides long. The record is from the annotation of a GenBank genome assembly. Lineage: Eukaryota; Metazoa; Cnidaria; Anthozoa; Malacalcyonacea; Plexauridae.
AACAAAGUUCAUUAUAAAAACGAUUUAUAAUAAAGUAAAUUUACAUUGCUACGUUUCAUUCUCCAUAUUUAUAAACGUAAUAACACGUGUUUGAAGCUGCGAAGAAGCAAACAUGAAUCGGAGUUGUUCGGAAAUUACCGGAACAUUCGGAAAUGCCGGUAUAUAAAUAAUUCGAAUUCUAACUCGAAGUCCAACUCGAACUCGAACUCGAACUCGAACUGGA